GUAGGUGGCAAGCGUUGUCCGGAAUUAUUGGGCGUAAAGCGCGCGCAGGCGGUCCUUUAAGUCUGAUGUGAAAGCCCACGGCUCAACCGUGGAGGGUCAUUGGAAACUGGGGGACUUGAGUACAGAAGAGGAAAGCGGAAUUCCAAGUGUAGCGGUGAAAUGCGUAGAGAUUUGGAGGAACACCAGUGGCGAAGGCGGCUUUCUGGUCUGUAACUGACGCUGAGGCGCGAAAGCGUGGGGAGCACACAGGGAUUAGAUACCCUGGUAGUCCACGCCGUAAACGAUGAGUGCUAAGUGUUAGGGGGUUUCCCGCCCCUUAGUGCUGCAGCUAACGCAUUAAGCACUCCGCCUGGGGAGUACGGCCGCAAGGCUG
RNAcentral lists this ribosomal RNA (373 nucleotides) under uncultured organism. RNAcentral describes it as "partial 16S ribosomal RNA". It matches the Rfam family "Bacterial small subunit ribosomal RNA", at positions 527 to 896 of the family's 1533-position model. The record is from RNAcentral.